GAUGAACGCUGGCGGCGUGCUUAACACAUGCAAGUCGAACGAAGCAUUUAGAACGGAUUACUUCGGUUUGAAGUUCUUUAUGACUGAGUGGCGGACGGGUGAGUAACGCGUGGGUAACCUGCCUUGUACUGGGGGAUGGCAGCUGGAAACGGCUGGUAAUACCGCAUAAGCGCACAAUGUUGCAUGACAUGGUGUGAAAACCUCCGGUGGUAUAAGAUGGACCCGCGUCUGAUCAGCUAGUUGGUGAGAUAACAGCUCACCAAGGCGACGAUCAGUAGCCGACCUGAGAGGGUGACCGGCCACAUUGGGACUGAGACACGGCCCAGACUCCUACGGGCGGCAGCAGUGGGGAAUAUUGCACAAUGGAGGAAACUCUGAUGCAGCGACGCCGCGUGAGUGAAGAAGUAAUUCGUUAUGUAAAGCUCUAUCAGCAGGGAAGAUAGUGACGGUACCCGACUAAGAAGCUCCGGCUAAAUACGUGCCAGCCGCCGCAGUAA
Molecule: ribosomal RNA, 497 nt
Filed under: uncultured bacterium
Lineage: Bacteria
Description: partial 16S ribosomal RNA
Rfam family: Bacterial small subunit ribosomal RNA
Source: RNAcentral